This 253-nucleotide ribosomal RNA is filed under the name uncultured bacterium. RNAcentral describes it as "partial 16S ribosomal RNA". It matches the Rfam family "Bacterial small subunit ribosomal RNA", at positions 524 to 776 of the family's 1533-position model. The record is from RNAcentral.
UACGUAGGGUGCAAGCGUUAUCCGGAAUUAUUGGGCGUAAAGAGCUCGUAGGCGGUCUGUCGCGUCUGCUGUGAAAACUGGGGGCUCAACCCCCAGCCUGCAGUGGGUACGGGCAGACUAGAGUGCGGUAGGGGAGAUUGGAAUUCCUGGUGUAGCGGUGGAAUGCGCAGAUAUCAGGAGGAACACCGAUGGCGAAGGCAGAUCUCUGGGCCGUAACUGACGCUGAGGAGCGAAAGCAUGGGGAGCGAACAGG